UAAUUGAAGAGUUUGAUCAUGGCUCAGAUUGAACGCUGGCGGCAGGCCUAACACAUGCAAGUCGGGCGGCAGCGGGGGGAAGCGUGCUUCCCUGCCGGCGAGCGGCGGACGGGUGAGUAAUGUCUGGGGAUCUGCCCGAUGGAGGGGGAUAACCACUGGAAACGGUGGCUAAUACCGCAUGACCUCUGAGGAGCAAAGUGGGGGACCUUCGGGCCUCACGCCAUCGGAUGAACCCAGAUGGGAUUAGCUAGUAGGCGGGGUAAUGGCCCACCUAGGCGACGAUCCCUAGCUGGUCUGAGAGGAUGACCAGCCACACUGGGACUGAGACACGGCCCAGACUCCUACGGGAGGCAGCAGUGGGGAAUAUUGCACAAUGGGCGCAAGCCUGAUGCAGCCAUGCCGCGUGUAUGAAGAAGGCCUUCGGGUUGUAAAGUACUUUCAGCGGGGAGGA
Molecule: ribosomal RNA, 451 nt
Filed under: Xenorhabdus anantnagensis
Lineage: Bacteria; Pseudomonadati; Pseudomonadota; Gammaproteobacteria; Enterobacterales; Morganellaceae
Description: bacterial SSU rRNA
Rfam family: Bacterial small subunit ribosomal RNA
Source: RNAcentral